UACGUAGGGUGCAAGCGUUAAUCGGAAUUACUGGGCGUAAAGCGUGCGCAGGCGGUUGUGCAAGACAGAUGUGAAAUCCCCGGGCUUAACCUGGGAACUGCAUUUGUGACUGCACGGCUAGAGUGUGUCAGAGGGGGGUAGAAUUCCACGUGUGAGCAGUGAAAUGCGUAGAUAUGUGGAGGAAUACCGAUGGCGAAGGCAGCCCCCCUGGGAAUAACAC
RNAcentral lists this ribosomal RNA (220 nucleotides) under uncultured bacterium. RNAcentral's name for it is "partial 16S ribosomal RNA". It matches the Rfam family "Bacterial small subunit ribosomal RNA", at positions 524 to 742 of the family's 1533-position model. The record is from RNAcentral.